Coturnix japonica (Japanese quail) is the source of this 1215-nucleotide non-coding RNA. The record is from RefSeq and is a predicted model, not a curated record. NCBI's taxonomy places the organism in Eukaryota, Metazoa, Chordata, Aves, Galliformes, Phasianidae.
GCGAGCUCUGCGGAGUGGUAGAUCGACUCCAACUGGAAGAAGAGGAGGGAAUGGAGAAGUGUGACCUGCUGUGUGAAGGCCUGGGCUGUGCUGCUGUGCUGGGAACAAUGCUGAUCUCUCACCAGCACGGGUGGUGGGGAAUUGGCACUGUGGCCAUAUGUUACCUGUGCAUAACACCACGGCUUGAGAGUCCCUUUAACAAAAGGACGUGUAAACAUCCCAGACAAGUGUGAAUUUUGUUCCAUCAGGUGGGAAAAUUGAAGUGACAUGGAAGGGAGCUGAGAAGAGGCUGGUGGCUGGGAUCACAGUGAUUUUAGCCGUGUCUAGCGGAAAGAAAAGGAUACUGACAGGUCAGAGGGGAAACAGGGACACAGAAAGGCUUUAUAUCAGCCGAGAGAGGAAAGCCCUGUGUGAGUGCUUUAACGCUGGGUUUUGUCAUGGAGGUGGGAGGAUGGUGACUUAUGGCCACUCCAGGGCUCGAAGCGGCAGGGCAGGUGAUGUCUUGCAUAAGGCACCAUCAGCACUUUAAAGCGACGUCCAUUAAUAAAUACCGCAGCACUGAAAGCAUUCUGCUGCUUAUCGGCAUGAGGGGAGCCAUGACCUUUCCACUCUCUUCCCCUCUCCGUGGGAGCCUGAUGGGCUGCGAUAACCCACUUAGCAGGCGUGUGGGCGGCGGGUGAUGGCGUCAGAGUGACGAGGAGGCCCUGCUCGAGCCAUCUCCUUCGCGCUACAUUACUCUAAAAAUAAAUGCUGCCUCACGUCAGGAGCUGCUGGCUGUGCCUGGGCUCCGCACGGCUGCUCCUCUCCCUGGUGUCUGUCAGAGCCGCUCUGUGGCAGCCGAUGCAGCUUCUGAAACCUCUGAAGCACUGAGGAUGGUUGUGCGUGGUGGGGAGCUCUGGGGCUGUCAUCAGGGGGAUGUCAGCCAUGAGGGCACCCGCAGCAAGCUGCUCCUCUGGGAGCUGAGCUGGAGGGCAGGAUUUGCCUGUUCCCAAACAGGCACUGCUGGUGUGAGGUGUUCACAGCACAUCUGGCACAGGGAGUCCUUCAUUGGGCUGAAGAGAUCUGCCAGCUGUGUGCAGAGGAGAGAAACCGGAUCCUUCAAGUUCAGAUGAAACUGUGCUGAGAAGGUUUAUACAGUUAGCCACACUUUGAGCUUAUUUACUCUCUUUUCCACUGAGGAAAACAGAUAUAUCAUAUACAGAGAGUAAAAGAAAA